Molecule: transfer RNA, 73 nt
Filed under: Raoultella phage Ro1
Lineage: Duplodnaviria; Heunggongvirae; Uroviricota; Caudoviricetes
Also listed under: 1 other name
Rfam family: tRNA
About the family: Transfer RNA (tRNA) molecules are approximately 80 nucleotides in length. Their secondary structure includes four short double-helical elements and three loops (D, anti-codon, and T loops).
Source: Rfam by way of RNAcentral
CGUUCAGUAGCUUAGUUGGUAGAGCAUGUUCUUCAUACGGAUAAGGUCAGUGGUUCAAGUCCACUCUGAACGA